AGACAGACAGAGAGAGCAAGCAAGAGCAUGAGCCAGGGGAAGGAAGCAGAGGGAGAGGAAGAAGCAGACUCUGUGCUGAGCAGGGAGCCCAAUGCGGGGAUAUGGAGCUGAAUCUCAGAACCCUGCAAUCACAACAUGAGCCAAAGGCAGAUGCUUUACCCACCGAGCCACCCAGAUGGUACUAAUUUGAACACAUCAUUCCAUGCUUCCUGGAGUAAUCACACAGCUUGCUUAGAUUUUCUAAACAUGACUGAACUGUGAUGAAGCGAUCAACAUUCACUGGCAAGCUUAUUUUUCAGUGCUAUCUGAUGCCUUGCAUUACUUACCUGCUUGCCCUGACUUUCACAACAAAAUACUGCAGAUGACUAUGCCUACAAUAAGGAUAACCCUGAUUAUGUUCCACAGAUGAUGUAGAAUGGAGGCAAUUACCUGAAAAAGGACUACUUGGGGGAAGGAAUGAUAGCUCAAUCUCUCCAGAAGAUAUGUUUUUCUGAAUAUCUGCAAAAUGCCAGAUAAAGAAGAUAAAGUCUUUGGGCCAGGAGAAGAGUAAGGGGUUAUCCCUGUGUAAGAAGCUGGAAAACCAAAAGAACACAAUUUAAACCAUUUUACUGGACAACUCUAGGGGGUACCUUGAAUUCCUCUGCAGAAUGCCACAGAAUUCAGUGAGUUGCAACCCCUGAUCUUGUGCAAUGUCAUGUGUUCACCCUCAGGGAAGAGGGAGUGAGAAGUAAACCCACCAUACAAAAGAGGACAGAGAAUAAUUUUUUUUUUCCUCACUCCACUCUGGAUGAAGAAGUGAAAAAGAAAGAAAAAUUAAGCAGUUUUGGAUCUUCAUGCCUAUCCCUAAGAGCCUAUGUGGCUCAAAUCCAUGCUACCUGAAAAACCUUCUCUUCAGAACUUAAAAUGAAUCUGUAAUGGAAUUGCUGUUACUCAAAAGCAACUAGCAGAAGUAAACAUAAAUCCUCUCAGGAAGAACUCAGCUUCUACUUAGGCCACAUGAAUGCACCAUGGAUAAAUUUCUUUUUUUUUUUUUUAAUUUUUAUUUAUUUAUGAUAGUCACACACACACAUACAGAGAGAGAGGCACAGA
Molecule: long non-coding RNA, 1089 nt
Organism: Canis lupus familiaris (dog)
Lineage: Eukaryota; Metazoa; Chordata; Mammalia; Carnivora; Canidae
Exons: 5
Source: RefSeq, a predicted model, not a curated record